GACGAACGCUGGCGGCGUGCCUAAUACAUGCAAGUAGAACGCACAGUUUAUACCGUAGCUUGCUACACCAUAGACUGUGAGUUGCGAACGGGUGAGUAACGCGUAGGUAACCUGCCUGGUAGCGGGGGAUAACUAUUGGAAACGAUAGCUAAUACCGCAUAAUAUUAAUUAUUGCAUGAUAAUUAAUUGAAAGGUGCAAUUGCACCACUACCAGAUGGACCUGCGUUGUAUUAGCUAGUAGGUGAGGUAACGGCUCACCUAGGCGACGAUACAUAGCCGACCUGAGAGGGUGAUCGGCCACACUGGGACUGAGACACGGCCCAGACUCCUACGGGAGGCAGCAGUAGGGAAUCUUCGGCAAUGGACGAAAGUCUGACCGAGCAACGCCGCGUGAGUGAAGAAGGGUUUCGGAUCGGAAAGCUCUGUUGUAAGGGAAGAACGGGUGUGAGAGUGGAAAGUUCACACUGUGACGGUAUCUUACCAGAAAGGGACGGCUAACUACGUG
RNAcentral lists this ribosomal RNA (505 nucleotides) under uncultured bacterium. RNAcentral's name for it is "partial 16S ribosomal RNA". It matches the Rfam family "Bacterial small subunit ribosomal RNA", at positions 28 to 507 of the family's 1533-position model. The record is from RNAcentral.